AUUGAACGCUGGCGGCAGGCCUAACACAUGCAAGUCGAACGGUAGCACAGAGAGCUUGCUCUCGGGUGACGAGUGGCGGACGGGUGAGUAACGUCUGGGAAACUGCCCGAUGGAGGGGGAUAACUACUGGAAACGGUAGCUAAUACCGCAUAACGUCUUCGGACCAAAGUGGGGGACCUUCGGGCCUCACACCAUCGGAUGUGCCCAGAUGGGAUUAGCUAGUAGGUGGGGUAAUGGCUCCCCUAGGCGACGAUCCCUAGCUGGUCUGAGAGGAUGACCAGCCACACUGGAACUGAGACACGGUCCAGACUCCUACGGGAGGCAGCAGUGGGGAAUAUUGCACAAUGGGCGCAAGUCUGAUGCAGCCAUGCCGCGUGUAUGAAGAAGGCCUUCGGGUUGUAAAGUACUUUCAGCGGGGAGGAAGGCGAUGAGGUUAAUAACCGCAUCGAUUGACGUUACCCGCAGAAGAAGCACCGGCUAACUCCGUGCCAGCCGCCGCCGUAA
This 504-nucleotide ribosomal RNA is filed under the name uncultured bacterium. RNAcentral describes it as "partial 16S ribosomal RNA". It matches the Rfam family "Bacterial small subunit ribosomal RNA", at positions 30 to 523 of the family's 1533-position model. The record is from RNAcentral.